This 287-nucleotide unclassified non-coding RNA is filed under the name uncultured Leotiomycetes. Its description in RNAcentral is "sequence contains ITS1". The stretch from base 1 to 105 matches the Rfam family "5.8S ribosomal RNA", at positions 50 to 154 of the family's 154-position model. Lineage: Eukaryota; Fungi; Ascomycota; Leotiomycetes. The record is from RNAcentral.
GAAAUGCGAUAAGUAAUGUGAAUUGCAGAAUUCAGUGAAUCAUCGAAUCUUUGAACGCACAUUGCGCCCCCCGGUAUUCCGAGGGGCAUGCCUGUUCGAGCGUCAUUAUAACCUAUCCAGCCCUGCUGGGUCUUGGGCCUGCCGCCUGGCGGGCCCCAAAGCCAGUGGCGACGCCGCCCGGCGCCGGAGCGUAGUAACAACCCUCGCUACCGGCCCAGGCGCGCGCCCGCCAGCGACCCCCUUCUACGGUUGACCUCGGAUCAGGUAGGGAUACCCGCUGAACUUAA